UUGCGUAGGUGGUUUGUAAAGCGAAUAGUGAAAUCUGGCGGCUCAACCGUACAGGCUAUUAUUCGAACUCACAAACUCGAGAAUGGUAGAGGUUACUGGAAUUUCUAGUGUAGGAGUGAAAUCCGUAGAUAUUAGAAGGAACACCAAUGGCGUAGGCAGGUAACUGGACCAUUUCUGACACUAAGGCACGAAAGCGUGGGGAGCGAACC
Molecule: ribosomal RNA, 209 nt
Filed under: uncultured bacterium
Lineage: Bacteria
Description: partial 16S ribosomal RNA
Rfam family: Bacterial small subunit ribosomal RNA
Source: RNAcentral